This is a long non-coding RNA of Sander lucioperca (pikeperch), 427 nucleotides long. RefSeq lists it as uncharacterized. The record is from RefSeq and is a predicted model, not a curated record. The transcript has 3 exons. Lineage: Eukaryota; Metazoa; Chordata; Actinopteri; Perciformes; Percidae.
GUGUAGUAUUGACUGUGUUGUGGGUGAAUAAAGUGAGCCGUGCAGUGCCGUCUCUGUUCCGCCAUUGGACGCCCGUGUUUCUUUAUUUUAUAGUCAGACCUGAGUCUAGGCAACAGAAGAAACCCUCGGUUACAUUAGUAAACAAACAUCUGCCCGGAAGUUGUUGGUCGGGGAGAAGAGGAGCAGAGCCGCGAGGAACUUUAACAUGAAGUCUGAGAGGAAGCUGUCAGCGGACCAGGGGACAGCUUUACCUCAAGAUGUUCUGGAAGUGAUUGUUGGUGAAGAGGAGCAGCAGGAGUGUAGCUCCAGUGUGGACCCGCAGGAGGCAGAGCCCCCCCCACACAUUAAAGAGGAACAGGAGGAACUGUGGAGCCGUCAGGAGGGAGAGCAGCUUCAAGGGCUGGAGGAGGCUGAUAUCACCAAGUUC